Molecule: ribosomal RNA, 413 nt
Filed under: uncultured bacterium
Lineage: Bacteria
Description: bacterial SSU rRNA
Rfam family: Bacterial small subunit ribosomal RNA
Source: RNAcentral
UGGGGAAUAUUGCACAAUGGGGAAGACCCUGAUGCAGCGACGCCGCGUGAAGGAAGAAGUAUCUCGGUAUGUAAACUUCUAUCAGCAGGGGAAGAAAAUGACGGUACCUGACUAAGAAGCCCCGGCUAACUACGUGCCAGCAGCCGCGGUAAUACGUAGGGGCAAGCGUUAUCCGGAUUUACUGGGUGUAAAGGGAGCGUAGACGGAGCAGCAAGUCUGAUGUGAAAGGCAGGGGCUCAACCCUGACUGCAUUGGAAACUGUGGAUCUAGAGUGCCGGAGAGGUAAGCGGAAUUCCUAGUGUAGCGGUGAAAUGCGUAGAUAUUAGGAGGAACACCAGUGGCGAAGGCGACUUUCUGGACAGUAACUGACGUUGAGGCUCGAAAGCGUGGGGAGCAAACAGGAUUAGAUACCC